CAAAUUUAUGUUGAUCUUCAGUUAAAUUAGUUAUCACUAUUUGAUACUUCAAAAAGCAUUAUCAUUAAAGUUCUCUGAAUGAUUACUAAUUCUGAUACAGUGCAAAAAAAAAAGAAAAGAAAAAAAGAAAAAGAAAAACUCCUCAGCCAGGGGUAAUGUAAUGUACAUUUUUAAAGGUUCUGUGAUGGGGCAUGCAUGCCCCACACUGGGACUGCAGGGGUUAAUUCCAUUCUUUGGGCCAAGGAGGCCACAUCCCCUUGACCCUGCUGGGCAUGCUCUGGCUGGAGGCCAGGUAUAAAAGGGAGCAGCCCAGUUCAUUUGGGGGCUGACUGCCAGAGAGGAAGGAGGUGUGCUGCAGGCUCCUGCUGAUAGACGGCCAACACUCCAUGAUGCAGAGGCCAGCCAGACAGCAGCGACCAACAGACCCCAGGCUCCGGACACCACAGAGGGAGAGGAGACCGGGGGAACCACGAGACCACAAGCUGCAGAGAAGCAGCCAAACUCCAACUGACGUCAAAGGGAAUGCGCCCGAGUAAAGACCAAGAGGGGGGAAAAUGAGCACCAAAGGAGAAAAACAACAAGCCAUGUCCAGGGUUGUGUGGCAAGAUUUGUCAAGCAUGAGAUCCUGUCAAUCAUUGAUGAGGAUGCUGUUCCUUACUUAGGCUGAUUCCUGCCUGUCCUUCCUCUCUGCAGGUUACAUUUGAACACCCUGAUUGAUUUCCAGCUAUCUUUUGCCACCUUGUGGAGAAGGUGAAACACUGCAUGACAUAAAUGGCAAACUCUAGAGCUUGUCAGAAAACAAAACUUUUUCCCCUGUGGGGAAAAAAAAAAUUCAUCAAAACUUUCCACUUAAAAUUUUGACUUUUCAUCAAAAAAUUAAAAGUUUUGGCCCAAAAAAGAAAAGUUUUCAAUGGAGACUCAAAUUUAUGCAGAAAGCAGACACUUUUCAUGAAAAUACUUGUUUAGAAAUCACUCAAACUUCAAUUGAAACACCGUUUUGAUAGAAAAGUUUUGACUAGUCUUAAUGAAGUCCCCAAAUGGUAUCACCAUGUGGUCAUUUAUAGGUAGGGCCCUAGCAAAUUCAUAGCCAUGAAAAACACAUCAUGGACCGUGAAAUCUGAUCUCCCCUCAUGAAAUCUGGUAUUUUGUGUGCUUUUACCCUAUAUUAUACAGAUUUCAGAGGGGAGACCAGUGUUUCUCAA
Molecule: long non-coding RNA, 1202 nt
Organism: Dermochelys coriacea (leatherback sea turtle)
Lineage: Eukaryota; Metazoa; Chordata; Testudines; Dermochelyidae
Exons: 4
Source: RefSeq, a predicted model, not a curated record